ACUUUCAGCAACGGAUCUCUUGGCUCUCGCAUCGAUGAAGAACGCAGCGAAUUGCGAUAAGUAAUGUGAAUUGCAGAUUUUCAGUGAAUCAUCGAAUCUUUGAACGCACCUUGCGCUCCUUGGUAUUCCGAGGAGCAUGCCUGUUUGAGUGU
RNAcentral lists this ribosomal RNA (152 nucleotides) under Butyriboletus subappendiculatus. RNAcentral's name for it is "5.8S ribosomal RNA". It matches the Rfam family "5.8S ribosomal RNA". From Rfam's summary of the family: 5.8S ribosomal RNA (5.8S rRNA) is a component of the large subunit of the eukaryotic ribosome. The record is from RNAcentral. Lineage: Eukaryota; Fungi; Basidiomycota; Agaricomycetes; Boletales; Boletaceae.